Molecule: ribosomal RNA, 118 nt
Organism: Myotis lucifugus (little brown bat)
Lineage: Eukaryota; Metazoa; Chordata; Mammalia; Chiroptera; Vespertilionidae
Source: Ensembl
UCUGGCAGCCAUACCGCUCUGUGCUGUGCGCCUGUCAGUUCUUACCAGCUAAGUAAGGACUGGCCUGCUUUGGUGUGAGGAUGAGAGACCUCCCAGGAACAAGUAGGUACUUCAGGAA